RNAcentral lists this unclassified non-coding RNA (345 nucleotides) under soil metagenome. Its description in RNAcentral is "partial contains 5.8S ribosomal RNA, internal transcribed spacer 2, and large subunit ribosomal RNA". The stretch from base 1 to 119 matches the Rfam family "5.8S ribosomal RNA", at positions 35 to 154 of the family's 154-position model. The record is from RNAcentral.
GAUGAAGAACGUAGCGAAAUGCGAUAAGUAAUGUGAAUUGCAAAUUCAGUGAAUCAUCGAGUCUUUGAACGCACAUUGCGCCCCCUGGUAUUCCGGGGGGCAUGCCUGUCCGAGCGUCAUUGCUGCCCUCAAGCACGGCUUGUGUGUUGGGCCCCGUCCUCCGAUUCCGGGGGACGGGCCCGAAAGGCAGCGGCGGCACCGCGUCCGGUCCUCGAGCGUAUGGGGCUUUGUCACCCGCUCUGUAGGCCCGGCCGGCGCUUGCCGAUCAACCCAAAUUUUUAUCCAGGUUGACCUCGGAUCAGGUAGGGAUACCCGCUGAACUUAAGCAUAUCAAUAAGCGGAGGA